AGUAGGUGCUGUGUUGUCAGAGAAGAAAUAGAUCCCGGUCCUCAAAGCUUCCUGUAUCCCAAGGCAAUGCAGUCAGAAGGAAGCCCUGACCAGGCACACCAGUGUCAAUAGCCACAGCCAUGGGUCUGUGGCUGGAACAUUGGUGGUCUGCUGUGCACCUGGUCUGCCUUGGGGCAGUAGAAGAGUUGUCAGACUUCUGUUUAAAACAAGUAGAAGGGACAACCCAAACAAGCCUGCUGACCAAGUUGUUCUGUAAGAAGAUCUGCAAGAAGUGAAUCUGUCAACCCAUCCUGAGCUCUGCAGGAGGCAUGUUGACAAGUUUGUCCUGGACAUAAACACAGAUGGAAGGAAAUUGCCAUAAAAAAACCCAAAACAUGAAAAGUCAUAAAGGAUGUAA
Chiroxiphia lanceolata (lance-tailed manakin) is the source of this 397-nucleotide long non-coding RNA. RefSeq lists it as uncharacterized. The record is from RefSeq and is a predicted model, not a curated record. The transcript has 3 exons. Lineage: Eukaryota; Metazoa; Chordata; Aves; Passeriformes; Pipridae.